GACGAAGGAUGCAAGCGUUAUCCGGAUUCAUUGGGUUUAAAGGGAGCGUAGGUGGACUUGUAAGUCAGGCGUGAAAGCCCCGGGCUCAACCUGGGAACCGCGCUUGAGACUGGCAUGCUCGAGUUCGGGAGAGGAUGGUGGAAUUCCCAGUGUAGAGGUGAAAUUCGUAGAUAUUGGGAAGAACACCGAUGGCGAAGGCAGCCAUCUGGACCGACACUGACGCUGAGGCGCGAAAGCGUGGGGAGCAAACAGG
This 253-nucleotide ribosomal RNA is filed under the name uncultured prokaryote. RNAcentral's name for it is "partial 16S ribosomal RNA". It matches the Rfam family "Bacterial small subunit ribosomal RNA", at positions 524 to 776 of the family's 1533-position model. The record is from RNAcentral.